This 253-nucleotide ribosomal RNA is filed under the name uncultured bacterium. RNAcentral describes it as "partial 16S ribosomal RNA". It matches the Rfam family "Bacterial small subunit ribosomal RNA", at positions 524 to 776 of the family's 1533-position model. The record is from RNAcentral.
UACGGAGGGGGCUAGCGUUGUUCGGAAUUACUGGGCGUAAAGCGCACGUGGGCGGCUUUGCAAGUUAGAGGUGAAAGCCCGGGGCUCAACUCCGGAAUUGCCUUUAAAACUGCAUCGCUAGAAUUGUGGAGAGGUAAGUGGAAUUCCGAGUGUAGAGGUGAAAUUCGUAGAUAUUCGGAAGAACACCAGUGGCGAAGGCGACUUACUGGACACAUAUUGACGCUGAGGUGCGAAAGCGUGGGGAGCAAACAGG